UGGGGAUGACGUCAAGUCAUCACGGCCCUUACGUCCGGGGCUACACACGUGAUACAAUGGUAGGUAUAAUGGGCAAAACCGCGAGGUUGAGGAAAUCCCCAAAACCUGCCUCAGUUCGGAUUGCAGUCUGCAACUCGACUGCAUGAAGCUGGAAUCGCUAGUAAUCGCAGAUCAGCAUGCUCGCGGUCCGAUCGUUCCGGCCUU
Molecule: ribosomal RNA, 204 nt
Filed under: uncultured Chlorobiales bacterium
Lineage: Bacteria; Pseudomonadati; Chlorobiota; Chlorobiia; Chlorobiales
Description: partial 16S ribosomal RNA
Rfam family: Bacterial small subunit ribosomal RNA
Source: RNAcentral